RNAcentral lists this ribosomal RNA (315 nucleotides) under uncultured bacterium. Its description in RNAcentral is "bacterial SSU rRNA". It matches the Rfam family "Bacterial small subunit ribosomal RNA", at positions 481 to 793 of the family's 1533-position model. The record is from RNAcentral.
GCAGAAGAAGCACCGGCUAACUCCGUGCCUAGCAGCCGCGGUAAUACGGAGGGUGCGAGCGUUAAUCGGGAAUUACUGGGCGUAAAGCGCAUGCAGGUGGUUGUUAAGUCAGAUGUGAAAGCCCGGGGCUCAACCUCGGAAUUGCAUUUGAAACUGGCAAACUAGAGUACUGUAGAGGGGGUAGAAUUUCAGGUGUAGCGGUGAAAUGCGUAGAGAUCUGAAGGAAUACCGGUGGCGAAGGCGGCCCCCUGGACAGAUACUGACACUCAGAUGCGAAAGCGUGGGGAGCAAACCAGGAUUAGAUACCCUCGGUAG